This is a long non-coding RNA of Gopherus evgoodei (Goodes thornscrub tortoise), 108 nucleotides long. RefSeq lists it as uncharacterized. The transcript has 3 exons. NCBI's taxonomy places the organism in Eukaryota, Metazoa, Chordata, Testudines, Testudinidae. The record is from RefSeq and is a predicted model, not a curated record.
UAAUCAGCAGUUAAAGGAGAAGGACCACUCUGAGGAACAGAUUAUUGACCCAAAUGGGGCUACAAGAGGAUCUGGGAGCAGCUGGAGCAGCAGCCAGGCAUUCCCAAG